AAGUCCGUAACAAGGUUUCCUGUUAGGUGAACCUGCGGAAGGGACAUUUUAUUCUCGGGCUUCGGCCCUGUCGAGAUAAGAACCCUUGCCUUUAUGAGUACCCGUCCGGUUUCCUCGGCAGGGCCCGCCGUGCCGAUGGGACCCAAAACCAAACCCUUUUUAUUACCUGUAUCAGUCUGAAAAAUAAACAAAAAUUAAAA
This 200-nucleotide unclassified non-coding RNA is filed under the name plant metagenome. RNAcentral's name for it is "partial contains small subunit ribosomal RNA and internal transcribed spacer 1". The record is from RNAcentral.